CCUCGAAUCAGGUGGACUACCCGCUGAACUUAAGCAUAUCAAUAAGCGGAGGAAAAGAAACUAACGAGGAUUCCCCUAGUAACGGCGAGUGAAGCGGGAUGAGCUCAAAUUUAAAAUCUGAUAGUCUUUUGGCUGUCCAUGUUGUAAUCUAGAGAAGUGUUUUCCGCGUUGGACCAUGUACAAGUUUCCCGGAACGGAACGUCAUAGAGGGUGAGAAUCCCGUCCUUGACAUGGACUACCAGUGCUUUGUGAUACACUCUCAACGAGUCGAGUUGUUUGGGAUUGCAGCUCAAAAUGGGAGGUAAAUUCCUUCUAAAGCUAAAUAUUGGCGAGAGACCGAUAGCGAACAAGUACCGUGAGGGAAAGAUGAAAAGCACUUUGGAAAGAGAGUUAAACAGUACGUGAAAUUGUUAAAAGGGAAACGAUUGAAGUCAGUCGCGUUUACUUGGACUCAGCCUUACCUCGGUUUGGUGCAUUUCCUUGUGAACGGGCCAGCGUCAAUGUUGUCCGUUGGAAAAGGGUUGGAGAAAUGUGGCUCUUUCGGGAGUGUUAUAGUCUCUGAUCGUAUACAACGGCUGAUAUUGAGUGGUACAGCAUGCUUCGGCGGUGCUUGUGCUGGCA
This 621-nucleotide ribosomal RNA is filed under the name uncultured Basidiomycota. RNAcentral describes it as "LSU rRNA". It matches the Rfam family "Eukaryotic large subunit ribosomal RNA", at positions 1 to 631 of the family's 3401-position model. The record is from RNAcentral. Lineage: Eukaryota; Fungi; Basidiomycota.